CAGAGUAUCACCAGAACUCCAGCAUGGCUCUCUCUAAGACUCAGCAGACAUUUAUGGAUGUAGCUAUUCCAUCUCUCAAAAGAGGAGUAAUUUCAUUCAAUGAACUUGCAUGCAAACUCCUCGUUACCAAUGUCUCAUACAUUCUUAAAACUCAAGUCAUGUUUGAAGAACUCCGUAAUAUAAUAGAGGCAUCUCAGAAAAGCAUCGGGCAGUCAGAGAGGGCAGCUAGCAGUGAACUGUACAAGAUAGACACACAUUAUGAGGAACUCACAGUCCAAAAGGGAGUCCUUGAA
Clupea harengus (Atlantic herring) is the source of this 293-nucleotide long non-coding RNA. RefSeq lists it as uncharacterized. The record is from RefSeq and is a predicted model, not a curated record. Lineage: Eukaryota; Metazoa; Chordata; Actinopteri; Clupeiformes; Clupeidae. The transcript has 2 exons.